RNAcentral lists this unclassified non-coding RNA (282 nucleotides) under soil metagenome. RNAcentral describes it as "partial contains small subunit ribosomal RNA, internal transcribed spacer 1, and 5.8S ribosomal RNA". The record is from RNAcentral.
UUUCCGUAGGUGAACCUGCGGAAGGAUCAUUAACAAAUCUUGUGGGUUUAAGGGAAAGUGUGGUUGUGCCAUGUUACUUACUUUACGUGAGUAGCUGUCAUAAUCACAUUACCCCCAUCCCAACACAUUGACUCGGGCGCUGCUCUGAUUACCAGUUUUCUUUUUCUGGUCUGCUGGUGGUCAGUGGAGAUUGCCCUGAGACAUACACGCUUGUUUUGUUUGAUAGUUAUAUAUUGGUGAAUUUAAUUAUGACAACUUUUAACAAUGGAUCUCUUGGCUCUU